Molecule: long non-coding RNA, 535 nt
Filed under: Fragaria vesca (wild strawberry)
Lineage: Eukaryota; Viridiplantae; Streptophyta; Magnoliopsida; Rosales; Rosaceae
Description: long non-coding RNA (FVES_LNC005449)
Source: RNAcentral
UUUGAUACUUGAAAGUCCAAUAGGGCAAACAACAAUUUUACCCUUGAUUAAGCUUGUUUUGUUUAUUUUCUAAAACAAUUGAGUAGUUGGAUUUGUAAAUCUCUAUGACCAGUAGUAGUGGUUGAUGAUAUUUUUGGUAACUUACAAGUUUUACUCUUCUAAAUUUGCUGUGAGGAUUGUGAUUGCUUUAGUGGCUAGGAGGUGAUAUUGCUCUGGUGAUUUGCAACUAGAAGGUGGUAUUGCUCUGCUGAACUUGCUGUUCAGAGGUAUUGCUCUAAUAUCUUGUUAGUCUUUAGUUUUUGGCUUUUGUUAUAUGACGUCUUUGAGUGCAUUGCUUUGAUAUCUUAGUUGCAUAAUUGGUCUCAUUUAUCACUAUAAGUAUGGUUUUGCUUCAAGAUUCUGUCUAAGUGUGCAUGAAUUUUAAGGCUAUUUAUGGUAAGAAACCGAUGUGAUUGGGAUGUGAUAUAUACUUCAUAUAUAUGUAUGCGUAUAUUAGUUUCAAAUAUUAAUAUUUGUGAAUGUUGACUUUUGUGUU